GUGGGGAAUUUUGGACAAUGGGGGCAACCCUGAUCCAGCCAUGCCGCGUGCGGGAAGAAGGCCUUCGGGUUGUAAACCGCUUUUAGCUGGGAAGAAAAGGCACGGGCCAAUACCCCGUGUUCUUGACGGUACCGGCGGAAUAAGCACCGGCUAACUACGUGCCAGCAGCCGCGGUAAUACGUAGGGUGCGAGCGUUAAUCGGAAUUACUGGGCGUAAAGCGUGCGCAGGCGGUUCGUUGUGUUUGCGGUGAAAGCCCCGGGCUCAACCUGGGAAUGGCCGUGAAAACUGGCGAGCUGGAGUGUGGCAGAGGGGGGUGGAAUUCCAGGUGUAGCAGUGAAAUGCGUAGAGAUCUGGAGGAACACCGAUGGCGAAGGCAGCCCCCUGGGCUGACACUGACGCUCAGGCACGAAAGCGUGGGGAGCAAACAGGAUUAGAUACCCGAGUAGUCC
RNAcentral lists this ribosomal RNA (450 nucleotides) under uncultured bacterium. RNAcentral's name for it is "bacterial SSU rRNA". It matches the Rfam family "Bacterial small subunit ribosomal RNA", at positions 354 to 796 of the family's 1533-position model. The record is from RNAcentral.